GCCGACCAUAUCAUGACAAAUGAUGAUAUUAAAUACUACAAUGCUUGGUGUCAAGCAAUGGGAUCAGUUACAAAACAAAGAAGACUACUCUGUUCAUGGCACGUAAUUGAAAACUGGAACAUCCAAGGGAGAAAUAAAUUAAAAAAUCCAGAAAUCAAGAAACAAAUGGAAUAUCGGAUGAGAAAGAUAUUGAGGGAAACAGAUUGGACGACAUUUUUUAAAUUAAAGGAGGAUUAUUUCAAGGAUUUAGAAAAAGAAGGAGAAAAUGAAUUUCUGAAAUACUAAAUGAAUUAUUACUUCCAAACAGAAUAACGAAUAAAAAUGUGGUCAUACUGCCAUAGAGUUAAUGCAGGAAUCAACACAAACAUGGCCAUUUAAAGUUUGAACAAGGUCCUGAAGCACAACAAAAUGAGAGGUAAUCAAAAUAUGAGGAUUGAAAAACUACUGGACUUACUGGAAGAGUUGGUGAAUGAUAAGAUGUGGAAGAAAAUCAUAGAAACUGAAAGACCCACCGCUCAUUCAUAUCAGUCCAG
Long non-coding RNA from Harmonia axyridis, 533 nucleotides. RefSeq lists it as uncharacterized. The record is from RefSeq and is a predicted model, not a curated record. Lineage: Eukaryota; Metazoa; Arthropoda; Insecta; Coleoptera; Coccinellidae. The transcript has 3 exons.